Molecule: ribosomal RNA, 274 nt
Filed under: uncultured bacterium
Lineage: Bacteria
Description: partial 16S ribosomal RNA
Rfam family: Bacterial small subunit ribosomal RNA
Source: RNAcentral
AUACGGAGGGUGCAAGCGUUACUCGGAAUCACUGGGCGUAAAGGACGCGUAGGCGGAUUGGAAAGUCAGAUGUGAAAUCCUACAGCUUAACUGUAGAACUGCAUUUGAAACUUCUAAUCUAGAGUAUGGGAGGGGGAGAUGGAAUUAGUGGUGUAGGGGUAAAAUCCGUAGAUAUCACUAGGAAUAUCGAAAGCGAAGGCGAUCUCCUGGAACAUAACUGACGCUAAGGCGUGAAAGCGUGGGGAGCAAACGGGAUUAGAAACCCUUGUAGUCC